Molecule: long non-coding RNA, 280 nt
Organism: Helianthus annuus (common sunflower)
Lineage: Eukaryota; Viridiplantae; Streptophyta; Magnoliopsida; Asterales; Asteraceae
Exons: 2
Source: RefSeq, a predicted model, not a curated record
ACCCCAAGCUCUCUCUCUCUCGGCGAUUCAGAAACCCCAAGAAUUUCUAUCACUCGACAAUCGUCAGUAUUUCAGACAUGCGCUGGGUUCGUCAACGAUGGUGGCUGUGGUUGGAAGAUGAUGACGUUGGUUGGUGGCCAGAUUGGUACUAUCCUUACCAGAUCUACCUUUUUUUUUUGUAUUUGUGUGGUUUAUGUUUAUACGCUGUUAAAUUUCAUGUGUUAUAAGUUGUUUUAAACAGUUUUGCUACUGUUUUUGGAUGUAUUUAUGUUAGAUCUGC